CUGAUCUCUCGCUUCCGGGUCGUUGUAUGUGCCGCUAGCAUCCGAGCACAGAUCCGGCGUCUUCACCGCGGUCGAGCCGAUCAGUCGGGGCGGUGUUUAUUGCCGCAACCAGAGCAUUGUGCUGAAGGCCGACGGUGGUGGUGGUGGUUCUCCUGGGUGGUGGUGGUCCUGUGUGCUGUGUGAUCCCUUUUUAAGAUUUUCUUUGUUUACACGUCACCUUUUGCUGUGUGUGUGGGGUGUCCUCCUUUUCCUUUUGGAUGUCACUUCCCCUACCAAACCCCUCCUCCAGCUGGUAAGCCUCAGACUACAUCUCCGUUUUAGUUGGGCUCUUUUCUUUUUUUGUGUUAGUGUCAAUCUCAUGAUUGUUUUAAUAAUAAAUUGUUAGACAUGAUCAUUGAACUCCGUCUCAUUCCCUCCCUGAGUAAACGAACCUGAGCGUCUUUUUGUCUGAAGGUACUAGUCGACCUUUACUACUGGUCCUUGGGCCAUAACCCAAGGUGGCGUUGUCGGUAUUUGGAGUAUAACAUAGUAAUAUCCCUCGUGUCACCACACAUGCAUCCUUGCAACAUUGUUAGCCAGCCGGGAGAAUUGACGCUUCGCCGUUGUUCUGAUGGCUUUAAGCUGCUCCAGUGAUUUUAAGUCGGACAUCUUCUGUUCCGGCAGCAUGGAGUAAGGUGAGUUUCAGUAUCUCACCAGGCUUCUGGGUUUCCAGGCCUGACCGGUCGCUGUCCUGGCUUCUCUGUUCCAGUCCCAGCCUGUUUUUCACUGUCAAGUCUCUCACUAUGGCAAGGCUUUAGUGUGCAAAACUCCCCACUUGAAAAGGCUGCUAUUUUUUCAGGAAGACUUUACAGGAAUCCACUCGUUACACUUGCUCUCUUUUUCUUCUUUCUUUUAUUUAGAAGAUUGAUGCAGUGUUUACAGCCAGCUGACCGGCCAGGCCUGGAAACCCAGAAGCCUGGUGAGAUACUGAAACGCACCUUACUCCAUGCUGCUGGAACAGAAGAUGCACACAGAAUCACUACAGAGCAGCAGUGGAAGAAAGCAGCAUGAGAGGAGGAAUGAGAUCGUGUGGAUUGGACUGAAACACCAAGACUGUGCAAAACAAAGCUUUCAAGGAAGACACAGCCAGUGAGCUUGAGCUUGUUGCAUCGUCGAAGUCCAUUGUUUGCAAGUCAUUUUAAUGAUCUGAUUGUAAACUAUACAUGUUAGUGGGUAAAACCAUGUUGGAAAACAUAGUUAAAGAUGAUUUCAUGGUAGUUAACCACAGUUAAAACUAAUUCCUCUUAAAAUCAUGUGAGCUGAAUGCAAUUCAAAAUGUGAUGUAUUAAAAGAUGAUUAAUUCGUUUCAUAGUUAAAAUCAUGAGUUCAACUCAAAUUCCACACUGCCAUAUUGCAUGUGAUUUCUGUAUUU
This is a long non-coding RNA of Solea solea (common sole), 1411 nucleotides long. RefSeq lists it as uncharacterized. The transcript has 3 exons. NCBI's taxonomy places the organism in Eukaryota, Metazoa, Chordata, Actinopteri, Pleuronectiformes, Soleidae. The record is from RefSeq and is a predicted model, not a curated record.